UGUACUUCGUACGCAUUUUUACUUGCUCCGUACUUCCUCGCCGGUGCGUACGAUGGUGCGUUAGCAGCAGGCAAUCUUCUCUCGAUUGCUUGCUGUUCCUCAUCAUCAAAGCAGCACCGGGAACUCCGGGAAGGAGAAAUAUCGGGGAAUAUCGAGGAACAUCGAAAGGAGCAUCAGGAUACGUUGAAAGGAGCAUUGUCGGGAUAACAGUCGGACAAUGAUCCUGUUCGCUCGCAAUAUUCCUGAGUAAUCGUGUGGCUCGUUCGCCAUGAAGGCUGCCGCGAUUGGAGUUUUCCCGCCGAUUCGAGAUAAGCGCGAAUACCGGGAGUGCCGAAUCAGUAUAUAUCUACGGGCGAUCGUGUGUGUGUUGUUUCGGUGUACAUUAAUCCGUGCAGUUGUAUCGUAACGUGUAAUCGAGAACGUUCGGUUGAAAUCUCGCCGUUUUCGUCGAAACGAUACGGUAGUAUUGUAUUCCUAAACCUACAUAGUGCUUUUCUCGUGUAUUAUAUUUCGCGAAUCGCGAGUGUGUGUGACUAAUGUAUCCAGGAAUAUAUCAAGGAUUAAAAGGAGCCUCGAAGGAGAUUUAUCGGCUACGUCGUUAAAGAGUAGCAUUGCGAGUGCCGUGUAAAGUUUCG
Molecule: non-coding RNA, 635 nt
Organism: Nylanderia fulva
Lineage: Eukaryota; Metazoa; Arthropoda; Insecta; Hymenoptera; Formicidae
Source: RefSeq, a predicted model, not a curated record